GGUUGCUCCCUGGGGGCAAUUUGUCUUGAAAACAAAUUAAAAGUGUUCGAUCCACUUCGCAACCU
Molecule: transfer RNA, 65 nt
Filed under: Conus tulipa (tulip cone)
Lineage: Eukaryota; Metazoa; Mollusca; Gastropoda; Neogastropoda; Conidae
Description: tRNA-Ser
Source: RNAcentral